UAACUGGUUGAUCCUGCCAGUAGUCAUAUGCUUCUUUCAAGGACUAAGCCAUGCAAAUGUCAGUGGACUCGGGGAUACUCGGGGGGACUGUGUACGGCUCAUUAAACGGUUAAUAGUCUACCCAACAGAGGGGGCAUCCGUGCUCUCCGACGGGAUAACCGCCCUAACCGGGCAGCUAAUACCUGGAAGACAAAAAGGAUCCUUGACCAUCGAACCACAUUCGGGGUAAAACCCGGGAGUGGGGUGAAGGAUGCUAUUGGCCGGAACAAAGACCAACGCCAUCAGCAAUGGUGGCAGAUGCAAUUGUUGACACAGGCCAAUGUAGCAGAAGCGUCAUGGGCUAGUACCUCAUGAUGCGGUGUUGGACGAAUUCACCACCUAUCAGGUAGAAGGUAGUGUAGUGGACUACCUUGCCUCUGACGGGUAACGGGGGAUUGGGGUUCGAUUCCGGAGAGGGUGCCUGAGAAAUGGCAACCAUGACUACGGUCAGCAGCAGGCGCGCAAAUUGCCCAAUGCAGACGAUGCGAGGCAGCGACGAAAAAUAGUACUUCUGAUGUCCAAUUCGGACUUCAGAUUGCAAUGGAUUGUAUCUAAUACACACUGCUGAGUAGCAAUUGGAGGGCAAGUCUGGUGCCAGCAGCCGCGGUAAUUCCAGCUCCAAGAGCGUAUAUAAAUGUUGUUGCGGUUAAAAAGCCCGUAGUUGGAUUUGAGAGCAAGGCUUGUGAUGGCUACUUCAGUCUUGAGUCGUGUCAGAGGUCUUCGGAUUGAUGGCAAGGGUUUAGGAGUGGAGGAUCAUAGGCAUCACAUAUGGGCCUUGGUCUGAGACAUGCGGGAUUGUCCACUGGCUCUUUAGACACAUUCAUUUGUGUGUGAGAGAGCAUCCUUCGGAGCCUCUGAUUACAUCAAUCACACUCCAUAAGGUGCGCCCGCAGACGUCACUGUGAGUAAACCAGAGUGUUCAAGGCAACCAUCAAUUUGCGUGGUUGAAUGUUAAAGCAUGGAAUGACAAGGGAUCGACCUGGAGGGCCUCUUUUUGUUGGUAAAAUCCUUUAAGCCUUUCAAUGGGGAAUCGAUGGUCACAUGAGUCGGGCGGCGGGGGCGGUAGGGGUCGGUGUAGCUAUCAUGGUUGCAGUGGCUUCUCCCCUUUUUUCAUUCGGCUUGUGGGAUCAACACACGGGAUCAAUAGGAGCACAGGGGGCCAUGAGUACUGGCAGGCUAGUGGUGAAAUACUGUGACCCUGCCAAGACUGACAUCAGCGAAAGCACUUGGCAAUUGUGCUUUCAUUAAUCAAGGACGAGAGAUCGGGGAUUGAAGAGGAUUAGACACCCUCGUAAUCCGUUCUGUAAAUUCUGCAGACUUGGGAUCGGUCAGCGAUCUGAUAACCAAUAGACCUGAUCGGCACCUUCCUCCUAUUAUCGAGAAAUCAUUAAGUCUAUGUGUUCCGGGGGGAGUACAUUCGCAAGGCUGAAACUUAAAGGAAUUGACGGAGAACCACCACCAGUCGUGGAGUGUGUGGCUUAAUUCGACUCAACACGGGAAAUUUUACCAGGCCAGGACGUGGUAAGGAUUGCCAGAUUGAAAGCUCUUGCAUGAUUCCGCGAAGGGUGGUGCAUGGCCGCUUCUGGUUGGUGAAGUGAUUUGUCUGCUUAAUUGCGUUAACGAACGAGAUCUCUGCCAAUUACUAGAUGCAUGCCUCGUGGAUCUGCUCAAGUAGGCCGUCGACCGCAAUCAGGUUCUUCACGGAGUCUGGUUUGUGUAUAAAGGGUCCCCACCCGUCGGCGGCUGAGAGGCAUGAAGCGUUUACUUAUUGGGAUUAUGCAGCUACUAACUGCAUUGAAACAAGAGCCCAAAGCAGGUCUGUGAUGCUCCUAUAUGUUCUGGGCUGCACGCGCACUACACUGAUUCAGCCAACGAGCUUCUGCUUUACAAAAACAGGGUUUCCCGGAGUCUUCACGGGCAAAGGGGCGCUCUUUUUCGCCAAAAGCAGCCUGGUCCGAAGGGAUUGGGGAAUCUUAUGAGCCUGAGUCGUGAUGGGGAUUGAUGCAUUGUAAUUAUUCUCCAUGAACGAGGAAUGUCUUGUAUCCGCGUUUCAUCAGAACGCAGAGAAUACGUCCCUGGUUCUUGUACACACCGCCCGUCGUUGCCUGUGAUGGAUUGUGAGUAGAGACCUCUGGAGGUGGGGUUCCGGGGCGACUCGGGAUUCUUUUUGGAUGAAUAAUCCAAGCCGAAAUUGAGCAAUACUCCCAAUCUAGAAGAGGCAAAAGUCGUAACAAGGUACUUGUAGUGAACCUGCAGAAGGAUCA
RNAcentral lists this ribosomal RNA (2303 nucleotides) under Scytomonas saepesedens. RNAcentral describes it as "SSU rRNA". It matches the Rfam family "Eukaryotic small subunit ribosomal RNA". The record is from RNAcentral. Lineage: Eukaryota; Euglenozoa; Stavomonadea; Petalomonadida; Scytomonadidae.